GGUUCUCUCAGAAUGGAUGGAAACCAUUCGAAGAGUGUAAAGGCAGAAGAGAGCUUGACUGCGACACGGACGUGUGGAGCAGGUACGAAAGUAGGACUUAGUGAUCCGGUGGUAUAAAGUGGGAUAGCCAUCGCUCAACGGAUAAAAGCUACCCUGGGGAUAACAGGCUAAUCACUCCCAAGAGUUCACAUCGACGGAGUGGUUUGGCACCUCGAUGUCGGCUCAUCGCAUCCUGGGGCUGAAGUAGGUCCCAAGGGUUGGGCUGUUCGCCCAUUAAAGCGGUACGCGAGCUGGGUUCAGAACGUCGUGAGACAGUUCGGUCCCUAUCCGGCGCAGGGGAAGGAUAAUUGAGAGGAGCUGACCUUAGUACGAGAGGACCGGGUUGGACGAACCGCUGGUGGACCGGUUGUACUAUCAAGUGCAUAGCCGGGUAGCCAAGUUAGGAAGGGAUAAACGCUGAAGGCAUCUAAGCGUGAAGCCCCCCUCAAGAGAAGAUAUCCCAUAGCAAAAGCUAGUAAGACCCCUUGAAGACGACGAGGUGGAUAGGUUAGAGGUGGAAGUGCAGAGAUGUAUGGAGCUGACUAAUACUAAUAGGUCGAGGGC
RNAcentral lists this ribosomal RNA (603 nucleotides) under marine sediment metagenome. RNAcentral describes it as "LSU rRNA". It matches the Rfam family "Bacterial large subunit ribosomal RNA", at positions 2315 to 2912 of the family's 2925-position model. The record is from RNAcentral.